GUGCUCACGUUGGCAGCACAUACACUAAAAUUGCAACAAUACAGAGAAGAUUAGCAUGGUCCCUGAAAUCAAGGAUGAUGCACAAAUUUGUGAAGCAUUCCUUAUUUUU
This is a small nuclear RNA of Bubalus bubalis (water buffalo), 109 nucleotides long. Lineage: Eukaryota; Metazoa; Chordata; Mammalia; Artiodactyla; Bovidae. The record is from RefSeq and is a predicted model, not a curated record.